UAAUCUGCCCUUCAGGGGAGAACAACUCAUCGAAAGGUGAGCUAAAUCUCCGUAAAGUUUAACCAUGGCAUCAUGGAUUAACCAAGUUUUCUGAGGGAUGAGCCUGCGUCUGAUUAGCUAGUUGGUGAGGUAACGGCUCACCAAGGCUACGAUCAGUAGCUGGUCUGAGAGGAUGAUCAGCCACAUUGGGACUGAGACACGGCCCAG
Molecule: ribosomal RNA, 207 nt
Filed under: uncultured bacterium
Lineage: Bacteria
Description: partial 16S ribosomal RNA
Rfam family: Bacterial small subunit ribosomal RNA
Source: RNAcentral